This 5618-nucleotide long non-coding RNA is filed under the name Salmo salar (Atlantic salmon). Its description in RNAcentral is "lncRNA (ENSSSAG00000091984.1)". The record is from RNAcentral. Lineage: Eukaryota; Metazoa; Chordata; Actinopteri; Salmoniformes; Salmonidae.
AGAAAAAGAGAGAAAAAAAGAGUGAAACAAGAAAAAAGAAAGACUGGUGGUAAAGGAAAAGAAAUCACAACACACUUCCCCUUUUGAGAAUCACAUUCGUUCUGGACCACUUGAUUUCCAUCACGGAUUGAUUCCUAAAAGAUAAGUACAUUCUGUGCUGCAUAGUGAUCGUUUUUGACCAGCAGUUGAUUGUGGAUUUUGUUUGCUUCACAAGCGUUUCAAUGUGUUGUUAUGAUAAGGUGGUAGUGUCGGAGCAAUGGAGUACAUUUUAAUUUAUUUGCUUUGGUGCCCAUCUCUCUCUCCCAUUGUUGACAGUUUUCUAUGAUAACAGUAUGUGAUAUACUGGCAGUUAUGAGUUUAUUACCAUGAAAGUAAUUCUUUAUCAUGAAGAUUCAUCUGCAAUAGGAUUUAUUACUACAGGAUUCUCCAUCAUCUAAAGCAAUAGAGGUUUUCUGGGGAGGUAUUUAGCUCCAUCUCCUUCUCUCCCUUCCUCUCUUUUUCUCUCUCCCUCCUUCUCUUUUAAUCUGCCCCUCUAUCUUUCCGUCUCUCGCUCUCUGUCCGCCUCUGUCUCUCUCGCUUUCUCUUCCUCUCUUCCUUGUCAUUUAUUUAUCCUACUCUCUUUCUCUCUCCCACUCUCCUCUCUAUUCCUUUCCUACCCCUCACAGUGCAGCUACGUUGUUUUCCUCGUCAAUUUCUCCAGAUAGUUUUAUUACCAUACAGUAAUAACUCCCUAGGGGACAACUCAGUCUGGCACAUUAACAGUUAAAAUAUAUGACAGGUAAUCACUUCUUCCUUCUAAUUAGUGCUCUCCUCCAUCUAUCUAUCCUUUUUUCCUUCCCUCUUUCCUUUGUUUCUCAUAUUCUCUUUAAAAAUAGCAAUAAUAUAAUAUUUAAUAAUAAAAUACAUGCCAUUUAGCAGACACUUUUAUCCGAAGCGAUUUACAGUCAUGAAUGCAUACAUUUUACGUAUGGGUGGUCCCAGGAAUUGAACCCACUAUCCUGGCUUUGUAACUUGCAGGUGCCAUGCUUUAUCAACUGAGCUACAGAGCACCAGUGUUCUAUAUUCAACACUUUAAUAAUUCAAGUUUAAUACUGAUCCCCAUCAGAUUGGCACAUUAAUAGUUCAACUGUAUGACAGACAGGCAAUAAGAUGUUAAUCAUUGCCUCUAUUGAACACUUUCUGCUUCACUUCCUCACCCCUCUUUUAUUAAACCAUCUCUCUCUCCUCUUAGGUGUGGCGUCAUUAUUCCCAAAUAUGAAUGCUUUGUAUAGAAUGGCAUGCGAAGAGUUUCACUAGCACAGACUGGAAUAUGUUCCAUGAUUCAUCCGAUAACAUUGAGGAGUUUACCUUCAAUCACAGUGACCGUACAUAUCCCAAACAGAAGCCAUGGAUUACAGGCAAUAUCCACACGGAACUGAAGGCUAGAGCUGCAGCUUUCAAGUCUAAUCUGAACACUUAUAAUAAAUCCCGCUACAACCUCCGACGAGCCAUCAAACAGGCAAAGAGUCGAUACAGGACAAAGAUCGAAUCCUAUGCUGGCUCUGAAGCUCGUCGGAUGUGGCAGGGCUUGCAAACUAUCCCAAAUUACAAAUGGUAACCCAGCCGCAAGUUGCCCAGUGACGCGAGCCUACCAGACAAGCCAAAUGCCUUUUAUAUUCGCUUCGAGGCAAGCAACACUGAACCAUACAAGAGAGCACCAGCUGUUCCAGACAACUGUGUGAUCUCGUUCUCCGUAGCCUAUGUGAGUAUGACCUUUAAACAGGUUAAUAUUCACAAGGCCUUGGGGACAGAUUGAUUACCAGGAUGUGUACUCAGAGCAUGCUGACCCUCAACACGAGGGCCCCUCCUGUACUCCCUGUUCACCAAUGACUGUGUGGCCACGCACAACACCAUCAUAACAUUUGCUAACGACAUGACAAUAGUAGGCUUGAUUACCAACAAUGAUGAGACAGCCUAUAGGGAGGAGGUCAGUGACCUGGCAGUGUGGUGCCAGGACAACAACCUUUCCCUCAACAUCAGCAAGACAAAGGAGCUGACCGUGGACUACGGGAAACGGAGGGCCGAGCAUGCCCCCAUCCACAUCGACAGGGCUGUAGUGGAGCGGGUCGAGAGCUUAAUGUUCCUCGGUGUCCAUAUCACUAAGGAGUUAACAUGGUCCACACACACACCAACACAGUUGUGAAGAAGGCAGGCAAACCCCUCUUCCCCCUCAGGAGGCUAAAAAGAUUUGGCAUUGGCCCUCAGAUCCUCAAAAAGUUAUUCAGCUGCAACGUUGAGAGCAUCUUGACUGGCUGCAUCCCCGCUUGGUAUGGCAACUGCUUGGCAUCCGACCGCAAGGCGCUACAGAGGGUAGUGUGUAUGGCCCAGUACAUCACUGGGGUCGCUCCCUGACAUCCAGGACCUCUAUACUAGAAGGUGUCAGAGGAAGGACCUAAAAAAACAAAAGGCAAGCAGUACCGAUGCAUCAUGUCUGGAACCAACAGGACCCUGAACAGAUUUUACCCCCAAGCCAUAAGAGAGCCAAAUAGUUAACCAAUAGCUACCCGGACUAUCUACAUUGACCCCCUUAGCACUAACUACUUGAAUCAUCACGUACACUGCUGCUACUGCAUAUUAUCUAUCCUUUUGCCAAGUCACUUAACCCUACCUAUAUGCACAUACAGUAUUUACCUCAAUUACCUCGUACCCCUGUAAACAUCGACUCGGUACUGGUACCCCGUGGACAGUGCCUUCAGAAAGUACUCACAACCCUUGACUUUUAUAUAUAUUUAGAUUUGUCACUGGCCUGCACACAAACCCCCAUAAUGUCAAAGUAGAAUGUUUUUCGUAAUUUUUACAAAGCCAAUAAGUAUUCAACCCCUUUGUUAUGGCAAGCCUAAAUACGUUCAGGAGCAUGGACUCACUCUGUGUGCAAUAAUAGUGUUCAUUUAAUAUGAUUUUUGAAUGACUACCUCACCUCUGUGCCCCACACAUACAAUUAUCUGUAAGGCCCCUCGGUCGAGCAGUGAAUUUCAAACACAGAUUCAACACUUUGACAAGGGAGGUUUUCCAAUUCCUUGCAAAAAAGGGCACCUAUUUGUAGAUGGGUAGUAAAAAAGAAAAGCAGACAUUGACUAUCCCUUUUAGCAUGGUGAAGUUAUUCAUUACACUUUGGAUGGUGUAUCAAUACACCCAGUCACUACCAAGAUACAGGCAUCCUUCCUAACUCAGUUGCCAGAGAGGAAGGAAACCACUCAGGGAUUUCACCAUGAGGCCAAUGGUGAAUUUAAACAGUUACAGUUUAAUGGCUGUUAUAGGAUAAAAAUGAGGAUGGCUCAACAACAUUGUAGUUAAUCCACAAUACUAACCUAAUUGACAGAGCGAAAAGAAGGAAGCCUGUACAGAAUCAAAAAUAUUCCAAUACAUGCAUAUUGUUUGCAAAAAGGCACUAAAGUAAUACUGCAAAAAAUGUGGCAAAGCCAUGGGGCAUAUCCAAUGCAACACAUUACUGAGUAACACUCUCCAUAUUUUCAAGCAUAGUGGUGGCUGCAUCAUGUUAUGGGUAUACUUGUAAUCAUUAAAGGUCCCACUCAGUCAUCCUAUUUCCCAAGUAAAAAUUGCCUUUGAAUGACCAAAACAUCCCCCAUAAUAUGUUUACACUAUUAAAAUGCACAGACCUGAAUUUGCUUUACCUUUUCUCUCAUCUCUAACUAUCAGGAAGCCUGAAAGAACCGGCUGAGUGGGCGGGGAGCUUAUAUUCAUGAUCUCGCCUUGAAUGCAGCUCUUUGAAACACCCUUGUGUUCGUUGCAAGGUAACAAGGUCAACAAUGGGCCACAUGUCAUUGAUGACCAGGUGAACAAUGGGCCACGUCAUUCCAAGCGUAAAUAAUAUACCUCACCCCAUUUUCUCAGCAAAUGGCUCUCACGGGCAACAGAACUGAUCAUGGACUUUUGGAUAUCAGUCAAACAGCAGCAACACAAAAUUGCCUUUCUAUAGUUUUUUUAACUCAUUACAGAAUAAAGUUCACUGAUACAUAUCCGUGGGAAGUAGGGGUGCUGAGGGUGCUGCAGCACCCCCUGAAAAAUCAGAAAAAAUAAGUAAAUAAUACAAAUAAAAGACUCACAAAAGUAGUGCAGUGGGCCUUUAAUAGUCCUAUAUUAGUGGAUAUAUCCGUCUACAGCACCAUUCUAUUGGUGCCUCUGCAUUAGUAUUAUAAAUGACAAUAUGUUCCGAAUUUUAUUUAUUGAUCAGACAUAUAUUUGAUCAUUUACAAUAGGCCAGCACAGUCAAAACAUUGCUCAACACGAACAUGCACGAGAAAAAAGGUGAGAAAUAAUGGUGAGACAUAAUUUGACAGAUAAAAAAUAUUAGAGCCAUAAGCCUAAUACAGUAUAAGCAACCGGCCACCCUAGAAGUGUGCAGUUCCACAUUGAUUCGUAAAAUUUGUAACACUCGUCUCCCGUUCGAAUGCUUGAAAAAUACAAUAGAAAGUAACAAAAUGUGACAUCUUAUCAUGUAAAAGUGAAUUACUAAGGCUUUAGGAAAUGCAACCAACUACAGAGAUUGAUAGGGAGGGGAGCGGUGGGGGACCCAUGUGCCGUACUUCAAUCAAACAGGCUUCAGUCACCCCCAAGAUUGAAGCGGUAGACAAAUCCAGCUAUGGCCUCCUCACACUGGGCAGACAGAAGUCCUGGGAUGGACAGUUCGCACAGCUUCCCCACAUACGGCUCUGGAUGAAGGGCGACCUUGCUGAAGAGGAGAUCCAGAAGCCUGUCUACGUAGCCGGCUUCACAGCAUAUCCCCCUUCUUUGCCUUGGGAAAGCUUGUAUCACACCAUUCCUGCUGCGGUGGUUGCCUGGGAAGCUGUGCAGACAGAAUAGAUGUUGAAUUUUCAAAAAUUACAGCUUGAUGAUAAUGGAAAGACAAAAGGAGAUGGAAAGUGAAAUAAUAAUACCCACCCCCUAAUCAUCAUGUUUAGCCCUAAAGACACAAGCUACAUCAACUGUAAGACAACAACCCACACAAUGGAAUGGUAAACUAUUAUUUUCAGGGGUAAAUUACAAAAAGUAUAAACACCGCAACUCCUUUUGUGGACAACAUUCCUUUGUGUCAGCUGUGUGCUGGUAGUUCUCAGACUCAAUGUAGUGGGCUUAGGGAUGGAAGAAUAAAAACCAUAAUGUGUGUUACAGAAAAUAUACUGUUCACAAGUCAAAGCAGCCACAGUUACAGCCACUGUGUAAGACUCAUCAAACUCUGAUACUUACAUUACUGUCAGCGCUUUCAAGAUUCACUGACCUAGGGCUGUGGCGGUCAUGAAAUGUUGUGAGCCGGAGAUUGUCAAGCAAAUAACUGACGGUCUCAUGGAAAUUGACCGUUAAUUAACAUAAACACUGUCACGUCCUGACCAGCAGAGAGCGUAUUGCUUAGUCUUGGUCAGGAUGUGGCAGGUGGUUUGUGUUUGUUGAAUGUUGUGUUGGUGAUUGGGACUUCCAAUUGAAGGCAGGUGUGUAUAGUUGCCUUUGAUUGGAAGUCCUAUAUAGGUGUGUGUGUUUGUCUUUGGGGUUGUGGGGAAUUGUUCUUGCACUGCGUUUUUGUAUGCCUGUAAGACUGUUCCUGUCGUGUGCAUUGUUUUUCCAGU